UACAGAGACUGCAAGCGUUUAUUCGGAUUCACUGGGCGUAAAGGGUGCGCAGGCGGCCGUGUGUGUCAGGUGUGAAAGCCCGGAGCUUAACUCCGGAAUUGCGCCUGAAACUACAUGGCUAGAGCAUUGGAGAGGGUAGCGGAAUUCACGGUGUAGCAGUGAAAUGCGUAGAUAUCGUGAGGAACACCAGAGGCGAAGGCGGCUACCUGGACAAUUGCUGACGCUCAGGCACGAAAGCGUGGGGAGCAAAAGGG
Molecule: ribosomal RNA, 254 nt
Filed under: uncultured bacterium
Lineage: Bacteria
Description: partial 16S ribosomal RNA
Rfam family: Bacterial small subunit ribosomal RNA
Source: RNAcentral